AAUAUUGGUCAAGGGAGGCAACUCUGAACCAGCCACGCCGCGUGAAGGAUGACGGCCNNNUGGGUNGNAAACUUCUUUUGUAUNGGNNUAAACCUUUCUACGUGUAGGAAGCUGAAGGUACCAUACGAAUAAGCAUCGGCUAAUUCCGUGUCAGCAGCCGCGGUAAUACGGAGGAUGCAAGCGUUAUCCGGAUUCAUUGGGUUUAAAGGGUGCGUAGGCGGAAGAAUAAGUCAUGGGUGAAAGCCGGUCGCUUAACGAUCGAAUUGCCUUUGAUACUGUUUUUCUUGAGUUUGGUUGAAGUGGGCGGAAUGUGAAGUGUAGCAGUAAAAUGCAUAGAGAUUUCACAGAACACCGAUUGCGAAGGCAGCUCACUAAGCCACAACUGACGCUGAUGCACGAAAGCGUGGGGAUCAAACA
Molecule: ribosomal RNA, 417 nt
Filed under: uncultured bacterium
Lineage: Bacteria
Description: partial 16S ribosomal RNA
Rfam family: Bacterial small subunit ribosomal RNA
Source: RNAcentral